Molecule: transfer RNA, 68 nt
Filed under: Marmota monax (woodchuck)
Lineage: Eukaryota; Metazoa; Chordata; Mammalia; Rodentia; Sciuridae
Description: tRNA.Ala
Rfam family: tRNA (bases 5-65)
About the family: Transfer RNA (tRNA) molecules are approximately 80 nucleotides in length. Their secondary structure includes four short double-helical elements and three loops (D, anti-codon, and T loops).
Source: RNAcentral
GGAUUGUGGCUCAGCGGUAGAGCACUUGCCUAGCAUGUGUGAGGCCCUGGGUUCAAUCCUCAGCACCA